GUUCAUAUAGCUUAGUGGUAAGGAGUGUUUUUAAGAUGCCAAAGGAUAUGAGUUCAAACCCUAUUUCUAACA
Non-coding RNA from Stylosanthes scabra, 72 nucleotides. NCBI's taxonomy places the organism in Eukaryota, Viridiplantae, Streptophyta, Magnoliopsida, Fabales, Fabaceae. The record is from the annotation of a GenBank genome assembly.